RNAcentral lists this transfer RNA (82 nucleotides) under Micrococcales bacterium. RNAcentral describes it as "tRNA-Leu". It matches the Rfam family "tRNA". From Rfam's summary of the family: Transfer RNA (tRNA) molecules are approximately 80 nucleotides in length. Their secondary structure includes four short double-helical elements and three loops (D, anti-codon, and T loops). The record is from RNAcentral. RNAcentral also lists the same sequence under 2 other names. Lineage: Bacteria; Bacillati; Actinomycetota; Actinomycetes; Micrococcales.
GCGGGUGUGGCGGAAUUGGCAGACGCGCAGGAUUUAGGUUCCUGUGUCCUCGGACGUGGGAGUUCAAGUCUCCCCACCCGCA